GGAGUCUGGUCCGUGUCUCAGUACCAGUGUGGGGGACCUUCCUCUCAGAACCCCUACUGAUCGUAGGCCAGGUGGGCCGUUACCCCGCCUGCAACCUAAUCAGACGCAUCCCCAUCCCAUAGCGGUGAACCUUUAUUCCUCGUUAGAUGCCUGCAAAGGAAAACAUAGGGUAUUAAUCCGCAUUUCUACGGGCUAUGCCCUACUAUGGGGAAGGUUGGAUACGCGUUACUCACCCGUGCGCCGGUCGCCAUCACAGAUAGCAAGCUACCUGCAUGCUGCCCCUCGACUUGCAUGUGUUAAGCCUGUAGCUAGCGUUCAUC
This 320-nucleotide ribosomal RNA is filed under the name uncultured Prevotella sp. RNAcentral's name for it is "partial 16S ribosomal RNA". Lineage: Bacteria; Pseudomonadati; Bacteroidota; Bacteroidia; Bacteroidales; Prevotellaceae. The record is from RNAcentral.